GAUGAACGCUAGCGGCAGGCCUAAUACAUGCAAGUCGAACGGUUUGUAGCAAUACAGAUAGUGGCGCACGGGUGCGUAACACGUAACUAACCUGCCCAAGACUGGGGGAUAGCCCGCCGAAAGGCGGAUUAAUACCGCAUAACACUUUUGAGUGGCAUCACUUAAUAGUUAAACCUGAGGGGGUCUUGGAUGGGGUUGCGGGUCAUUAGCUAGUUGGUUAGGUAACGGCUGACCAAGGCGACGAUGACUAGGGGAGCUGAGAGGCUGGUCCCCCACACGGGCACUGAGAUACGGGCCCGACUCCUACGGGAGGCAGCAGUAGGGAAUAUUGGGCAAUGGGCGAGAGCCUGACCCAGCCAUGCCGCGUGCAGGAAGAAGGCUUUCUGAGUCGUAAACUGCUUUUGAUAGGGAAGAAUAACCUGUACGUGUACAGGGAUGACGGUACCUACAGAAUAAGCACCGGCUAACUCCGUGCCAGCAGCCGCGGUAAUACGGAGGGUGCGAGCGUUGUCCGGAUUUAUUGGGUUUAAAGGGUGCGUAGGCGGCCCGUUAAGUCCGGGGUGAAAGCCCGUUGCUCAACAACGGAACUGCCCUGGAUACUGGCGGGCUUGAGACUAGUGGAGGUUG
RNAcentral lists this ribosomal RNA (627 nucleotides) under uncultured bacterium. Its description in RNAcentral is "bacterial SSU rRNA". It matches the Rfam family "Bacterial small subunit ribosomal RNA", at positions 28 to 660 of the family's 1533-position model. The record is from RNAcentral.